Molecule: non-coding RNA, 137 nt
Organism: Morus notabilis
Lineage: Eukaryota; Viridiplantae; Streptophyta; Magnoliopsida; Rosales; Moraceae
Source: Rfam
AGUCUCUGAUGAAGAUCAAAUUCAGUGCAUCUUGGCUGGUUUGGGGGCAGAAUAUGACCCUGUUAUGGUGACCAUUACAUCGAGAGCUGAACCUUAUACUGUCAAGGAUGCUGGAGCUCUACUAAUGAGUUCUGAGA